AUAUAUAUCAACCUUCUCAUUUCUGAGUGGUUUGGAUGUGGGGGUUUGCUGGCCUCUUAAAUGAGUUCAGCUCCUCUGAAAUGCAUUAGUGGAACAAACCCCGUUCAUUGGCGUGAUAACUAUCUACGCUAUUGAAUGUGAGGGAUGGUUCAGCUUUCUAACAGUCCUUGGACAACUUAUCAUUU
This 185-nucleotide unclassified non-coding RNA is filed under the name uncultured Cortinarius. Its description in RNAcentral is "sequence contains ITS2". Lineage: Eukaryota; Fungi; Basidiomycota; Agaricomycetes; Agaricales; Cortinariaceae. The record is from RNAcentral.